This 583-nucleotide ribosomal RNA is filed under the name fungal endophyte. RNAcentral's name for it is "eukaryotic LSU rRNA". The stretch from base 216 to 369 matches the Rfam family "5.8S ribosomal RNA". The record is from RNAcentral. Lineage: Eukaryota; Fungi.
GUAACAAGGUUUCCGUAGGUGAACCUGCGGAAGGAUCAUUACCGAGUGAGGGCCCUCUGGGUCCAACCUCCCACCCAUGUUUAUUGUACCUUGUUGCUUCGGCGGGCCCGCCUCACGGCCGCCGGGGGGCUUCUGCCCUCUGGCCCGCGCCCGCCGAAGACACCAUUGAACACUGUCUGAAGAUUGCAGUCUGAGCAAUUAGCUAAAUAAGUUAAAACUUUCAACAACGGAUCUCUUGGUUCCGGCAUCGAUGAAGAACGCAGCGAAAUGCGAUACGUAAUGUGAAUUGCAGAAUUCAGUGAAUCAUCGAGUCUUUGAACGCACAUUGCGCCCCUUGGUAUUCCGGGGGGCAUGCCUGUCCGAGCGUCAUUGCUGCCCUCAAGCACGGCUUGUGUGUUGGGCCCCGUCCUCCUUCCCGGGGGACGGGCCCGAAAGGCAGCGGCGGCACCGCGUCCGGUCCUCGAGCGUAUGGGGCUUUGUCACCCGCUCUUGUAGGCCCGGCCGGCGCUUGCCGACAACCAUCAAUCUUUUUUCAGGUUGACCUCGGAUCAGGUAGGGAUACCCGCUGAACUUAAGCAUAUCA